This 427-nucleotide ribosomal RNA is filed under the name uncultured prokaryote. RNAcentral's name for it is "bacterial SSU rRNA". It matches the Rfam family "Bacterial small subunit ribosomal RNA", at positions 355 to 774 of the family's 1533-position model. The record is from RNAcentral.
UGGGGAAUAUUGGACAAUGGGCGAAAGCCUGAUCCAGCCAUGCCGCGUGUGUGAAGAAGGUCUUCGGAUUGUAAAGCACUUUAAGUUGGGAGGAAGGGCUGUUACCUAAUACGUGAUGGUUUUGACGUUACCGACAGAAUAAGCACCGGCUAACUCUGUGCCAGCAGCCGCGGUAAUACAGAGGGUGCAAGCGUUAAUCGGAAUUACUGGGCGUAAAGCGCGCGUAGGUGGUUUGUUAAGUUGGAUGUGAAAUCCCCGGGCUCAACCUGGGAACUACAUUCAAAACUGACGGACUAGAGUAUGGUAGAGGGUGGUGGAAUUUCCUGUGUAGCGGUGAAAUGCGUAGAUAUAGGAAGGAACACCAGUGGCGAAGGCGACCACCUGGACUGAUACUGACACUGAGGUGCGAAAGCGUGGGGAGCAAACA